RNAcentral lists this ribosomal RNA (427 nucleotides) under uncultured bacterium. RNAcentral describes it as "bacterial SSU rRNA". It matches the Rfam family "Bacterial small subunit ribosomal RNA", at positions 355 to 775 of the family's 1533-position model. The record is from RNAcentral.
UCGAGAAUUUUUCACAAUGGGCGAAAGCCUGAUGGAGCGACGCCGCGUGGGGGAUGAAUGGCUUCGGCCCGUAAACCCCUGUCAUUCGCGAGCAAACGUUAUUAUUUAAAAGAUGAUAGCCUGAUAGUAGCGAAAGAGGAAGGGACGGCUAACUCUGUGCCAGCAGCCGCGGUAAUACAGAGGUCCCAAGCGUUGUUCGGAUUUACUGGGCGUAAAGGGUGCGUAGGUGGUGGGGUAAGUCGGAUGUGAAAUCUCCGAGCUCAACUCGGGGAGUGCAUUGGAAACUACCCUGGUCGAGGGUUGGAGGGGGGACUGGAAUACUUGGUGUAGCAGUGAAAUGCGUAGAUAUCAAGUGGAACACCAGUGGCGAAGGCGAGUCCCUGGACAACUCCUGACACUGAGGCACGAAAGCUAAGGGAGCAAACAG